UACAGUAGGGUGCAAACGCUAAUCGGAAUUACUGAGCGGAAAGUAUGAGCAAGUGCUUCUUUAAGACAGCUGUGAGAUCCCCGGGCUUAACCUGGGAACUGCAAUUGUGACUGGCGGUCUAGAGUUUGGCAGAGGGGGGUGGAAUUCCUGGUGUAGCAGUGAAAUGCGUAGAUAUCAGGAGGAACGCCGAUGGCGAAGGCAGCCCCCUGGGCCAUGACCGACACUCACGCACGAAAGCGUGGGGAGCAAACAGGAUUAGAUACCCUCGUAGUCCGCGCCCUAAACGAGUGUCUAUUAGUCGUUGGGUCUUCAUAGACUUAGUAACGACACUCACGCGUGAAAUAGAUCGCGUGGGGAGUCCGGCCGCAAGGUUAAAACUCAAAGGAAUUGACGGGGACCCGCACAAGCGGUGGAUGAUGUGGAUUAAUUCGAUGCAACGCGAAAAACCUUACCUACCCUUGACAUCCUAGGAAUCCCGCAGAGACGUGGGAGUGCUCGAAAGAGAACCUGGACACAGGUGCUGCAUGGCUGUCGUCAACUGGUGUCGUGAGAUGUCGGCUUAAGUCCCGCAACGAGCGCCAGCCUUGUCAGUAGAUGUUAUGAAAGGGCCUUCUAAUGAGACCGCCGGUGACAAUCCGGAGGAAGGCGGGGAUGACCUCAAGUCCUCAUGGUCCCUAUGGGUAGGUCUUCACACCCCAUACACUGGUCGAAACAGAGGGCUCUCAACCCGCGAGGGGGAACCCAUCCUCUAAAACCGAUCGCAGUCCGGAUUGGAGUAUGCAACUCGAGUCCAAGAAGUCGGAAUCGGUAGUAAUCGCGGAUCAGAAUGUCGCGGAGAAUACGUUCCCUGGUUU
This 854-nucleotide ribosomal RNA is filed under the name uncultured bacterium. RNAcentral describes it as "SSU rRNA". It matches the Rfam family "Bacterial small subunit ribosomal RNA", at positions 524 to 1381 of the family's 1533-position model. The record is from RNAcentral.